UUAAAGCCGUUGAUAAGAAUAGUAAAUAAUAGAGUUUAGUAUAAAGAGAAUUUGGCAUUUGGUGAGAGUCAAAUACUGUAGCUAUUAUUGAAUGGGUCUUUGAGGUGAUAUCUUGAAAUAUUUAAGUAGGGAUAUACGGGAAGUCAGCCGUUAAAAUGACAGGAUAUAAUAAAACAAUUGUUUUACGUAUCUGAUAAGAUAUAUACAUGGGUGGUAUAGCGAGUGUUAACAUUUCGUCCUAUUUUAGGAGAAGUGUUUUUUUAUUUAUAUAGCUUUUUAUGCUGCAUUAAAAAUGUAUUAAUUUGGGUGGCACCACGAGUCACUUCGUCCCAAUA
This 335-nucleotide non-coding RNA is filed under the name Clostridium neonatale. Its description in RNAcentral is "T-box". It matches the Rfam family "T-box leader". From Rfam's summary of the family: Uncharged tRNA acts as the effector for transcription antitermination of genes in the T-box leader family. Lineage: Bacteria; Bacillati; Bacillota; Clostridia; Eubacteriales; Clostridiaceae. The record is from RNAcentral.